RNAcentral lists this non-coding RNA (28 nucleotides) under Mus musculus (house mouse). The record is from RNAcentral. Lineage: Eukaryota; Metazoa; Chordata; Mammalia; Rodentia; Muridae.
UCCAAAUUCUUCUGAUUUCACUAUGAGC